GCUGGGUGCAGUGGACUACUCCUGUAAUCCCAGCAGCCUGGGAGGCUGAGGCAGGAGGAUUGUGAAUUCAAAGCCAGCCUCAGCAAAAGCAAGGUGCUAAGCAAUUCAAUGAGACUCUGUUUCUA
RNAcentral lists this small RNA (125 nucleotides) under Marmota monax (woodchuck). The record is from RNAcentral. Lineage: Eukaryota; Metazoa; Chordata; Mammalia; Rodentia; Sciuridae.